RNAcentral lists this ribosomal RNA (274 nucleotides) under uncultured bacterium. RNAcentral's name for it is "partial small subunit ribosomal RNA". It matches the Rfam family "Bacterial small subunit ribosomal RNA", at positions 26 to 285 of the family's 1533-position model. The record is from RNAcentral.
AGGAUGAACGCUGGCGGCGUGCCUAAUACAUGCAAGUCGAACGAGAAAGGGGAGCAAUCCCCGAGUAAAGUGGCAAACGGGUGAGUAACACGUGGGUAACCUACCCUUGAGUGGGGAAUAACAUCUCGAAAGAGGUGCUAAUACCGCAUAACAUCGAGAGGGCUCUGGCCUUUUUCGAUCAACGGCUGGGAUCUUCGGACCAGCCGCUCGAGGAUGGGCCCGCGGCUGAUUAGCUAGUUGGUGGGGUAAUGGCCUACCAAGGCGACGAUCAGUA